AUAAUAAGCAUUAUCCCACAGUUCUGCCUUUUAAUGUGGCAUAGCCAUAUUUGCUUAUAAUUUUUAUUCUACACAUAUCACUGCUUCUCAGUGUGUACAUACUGGGGAAGGGGGUCAUUUUGACCCAGAAGGAUUUUUGAAUCAUCAAAUAUUUUCAAAUCGAAGGUUUUUCUAGUCUAGCUUCAUUCAGAUGAGCGUUGUGCAUCGAAGUUCAAGUCCCAAGAGAUGUUAUCAGUCGGAACGGCCGAGUGAACAAAUAUUUGUGAACCUCCUUCCAAAUGAAAUGUUCUAUAGAAGGGUGGAAGUGGUAAGAGACCGUUGAAACAGUGGUUAAGAAGGUUAUAUUUAUUUGGCCAUCAGCUCGUCUCAUGGUCUGAAGGAUGAUGAUGAUGAGGAAGAGGAGGAAGAAGAGAAGAUGAGGAACUUUUCCAAAAUAGGCAGUUUAACUCAUAAUAGACCCAAUUUCUAAAUACGAGGUUGGACUACGUCAUCUCUAAACGCAACCACUGGUCUGAAAAUAUGAGCUGUGUCAUAGAUACGGAGAACAAACAGGUGGUUGCCAAAGGAUGGGGGGAUUGGGCAAAAGAGGUGAAGGGGAUUCAGGGCCCCAAACUUCCAGUUAUAACAUAAAAAAGUCACAGAGAUAUAAUGUAAAGUCAGGGGGAAAUACAGUCAAUAUUGCAAUAACUGUGUAUGGUGGCCGAUGGUCCCCAGAUUUACAAGUGUGGGAAUCAACUCGGGUAAUGUACACAAAUGUCAAAUCACUAUACUGUACUCAAAACUCAUGUAAGCCACUACAUUCGUGGUAAACCACUAGUGUAAAACUAGUGCACACCACCACUACACUGCCGUAGUGGUUGAGUUUCAAUAAAAGUUAUGUGCAUCAACUCUAUUUCAACAAAAAAUUAAAAGUAACAAAACAAGGUAACAUUAUGAGAUUCGUUACACCUGGGCUUUAAUUUCCAAUUUUGGUUUAAUAUGUAUGACCUAACUUUAAAAAUCAGUUUACAGACAGACUAUCCUAAGGGCAAACAGUCCAACAAGACUUGCUCCAAUUCAAAGAAAAUCUUGAUAAGCAUUUUUUUUUUCCUUUGUGGUUAUUAUAAAGUAUUUAAGUUCAAUUUUUAAAAAAUCCACUAUAUUUGAUUGUCAUUAUUUGAGUCAACAUGUUUCAAGUUAUGUUUCAGAGCACGGUUAGUUGAAACAGCCCAGAUCUUACUCAUCAAAAGACUUGGAAUAUUCACAGAAACUCUGUCACUCAUUAUUUCUCAGAGUUUAAAGAAGUUUAUGAACAUCACUGAGAAUCUGUCUUUUCAGUUUUGAAAGGGAAGUUAUAAUACUGACUUUGAAGUAUCUUGGCCAGUGAAAAAAACGCUACACAUAUAAGUUAUCAAGUGAAAUUAAAAGCUAAAGAAAUAAUAGCUACUAUAAAUAAAAACAUUCACAUUUGUUUAUCUGUGCUCAUUUGUCUUAAUGUUACCAAAAUUUAUUUUUAAAUGUUUUAUUUUAAGAUGUUAUGUUCCUACAUUCCUAAAUCUAUCUCCAUUUUACAUUUUGUUAGGGCUUGCAUGCUAUUUCUUUUUUUUUUUAAUUAAAGUAUAGUUGAUUGAC
This 1611-nucleotide long non-coding RNA is filed under the name Sus scrofa (pig). RNAcentral describes it as "lncRNA (ENSSSCG00055015919.1)". Lineage: Eukaryota; Metazoa; Chordata; Mammalia; Artiodactyla; Suidae. The record is from RNAcentral.